This 295-nucleotide long non-coding RNA is filed under the name Homo sapiens (human). RNAcentral's name for it is "HSALNT0304188". The record is from RNAcentral. Lineage: Eukaryota; Metazoa; Chordata; Mammalia; Primates; Hominidae.
UUCCUUUGAAGAACUCAACGCUCCAGGCAUCAUCUUGAAAGCGGAGAAAGCAGACCAUGUGGUUGAUCUUCAGUUAUCCUGAGUCAGCAGGUGGGCCAUUUACAUCACCACGACAGUGUCCACAGGAGUUCCAGUUCCCUAAAUUCUCACCAAGACUGGUCAUCCUCUGUUGGAAAAAAACAUUCUAACAGGCAUCAGUUUCUGGCAAUACUUUCUCUAUGGUAGAGUCUGGAAAGGCUACUCCUCAUGUCCUUGGCUUCCUAAGUCCCAGAUGUGGUGAAGAAUGCCCAUCAGC